GUACGGGUGCCCUUCCUUGAGGUCAAUGAUCCAGGGGAACCCUCAGGGCUGGAGACUCUGAAAGACACACCGCCCCCACGGCUCAUCAAGUCACACCUGCCCCUGGCUCUGCUCCCUCAGACUCUGUUGGAUCAGAAGGUCAAGGUGGUCUAUGUUGCCCGAAACCCAAAGGACGUGGCGGUCUCCUACUACCAUUUCCACCGUAUGGAAAAGGCGCACCCUGAGCCUGGGACCUGGGACAGCUUCCUGGAAAAGUUCAUGGCUGGAGAAGUGUCCUACGGGUCCUGGUACCAGCACAUGCAGGAGUGGUGGGAGCUGAGCCGCACCCACCCUGUUCUCUACCUCUUCUAUGAAGACAUGAAGGAGGUGAGACCGCCUGUGAUGCUUCCCCCCAUGUGACACCUGGGGGCAGGCACCUCACAGGGACCCACCAAGGC
RNAcentral lists this small RNA (437 nucleotides) under Pan troglodytes (chimpanzee). Its description in RNAcentral is "retained intron". The record is from RNAcentral. Lineage: Eukaryota; Metazoa; Chordata; Mammalia; Primates; Hominidae.